AACGCACCUUGCGCUCCUUGGUAUUCCGAGGAGCAUGCCUGUUUGAGUGUCAUUAAAUCAUCAAACAUUAUGAUUUUAAAAGAUUGUAGUGUUUGGAUAUGGAAGUGUUGUUGGCCUUUUCUUUGGUCAGCUCUUCUUAAAUUCAUUAGCCAGGAGCUUUUGUAACUGUCUAUUGGUGUGAUAAUUAUCUAUGCCAUCGAAAGCUACACUUUUAUAAGACUUCUGCUUCUAACUGUCUAUUGGACAAUUUUUGACAAUUUGACCUCAAAUCAGGUAGGACUACCCGCUGAACUUAA
This 296-nucleotide unclassified non-coding RNA is filed under the name uncultured Agaricales. RNAcentral's name for it is "sequence contains ITS2". The stretch from base 1 to 52 matches the Rfam family "5.8S ribosomal RNA", at positions 103 to 154 of the family's 154-position model. Lineage: Eukaryota; Fungi; Basidiomycota; Agaricomycetes; Agaricales. The record is from RNAcentral.